Molecule: ribosomal RNA, 773 nt
Filed under: uncultured Neocallimastigales
Lineage: Eukaryota; Fungi; Neocallimastigomycota; Neocallimastigomycetes; Neocallimastigales
Description: partial large subunit ribosomal RNA
Rfam family: Eukaryotic large subunit ribosomal RNA
Source: RNAcentral
UAUCUCUGUAGAGUCUGAUAUCAAUAAGCGGAGGAAAAGAAACUAACAAGGAUUCCCUUAGUAACGGCGAGUGAAGCGGGAAGAGCUCAAAUUUGAAAUCUUCAAGGUUUUACCUUGACGAAUUGUAGUUUAAAGAAGUGUUUUCUGUUGAAGUUUUGGUAAAAGUUCUUUGGAAUAGGACAUCAUAGAGGGUGAGAAUCCCGUAUUUGACCAUUAUUUCAGCUGUGUGAUACACUUUCAAAGAGUCGGAUUGUUUGGGAAUGCAGUCCAAAAUGGGUGGUAAAUUUCAUCUAAAGCUAAAUAUUGGCGAGAGACCGAUAGCGAACAAGUACCGUGAGGGAAAGAUGAAAAGAACUUUGAAAAGAGAGUUAAACAGUACGUGAAAUUGUCAAAAGGGAAGCGUUUGACACCAGUGUUGUUUUCUCGAAAAUCAAUUAAAAAAAGUUGGAUUUUGUAUUGUAUAGACCUUAUCAGCUUACUGUACUCUUUUCCUUGUCUUUUUUAAUGCACUUUUCGUUUAACAAGUCAACAUCAAUUUCUUUUGUUGUAAAAGAGUCAUUGGAGGGUGGCUUUCACUUCGGUGAAAGUGUUUAUAGCCUUUGGCUUCUGCAAUCGGAGAGAUUGAGGUCUGCAGCGUAGAUCCUUCGGGGCUAGAUACGUAGAUGCUAAGUUAUAGUUUUUUAUAGACAACUUGUUGACUAUAAUUAAUCAUGUAGCUUACUCGUUUGCGCUAUUUUACCUACGCUUAGGAUGUUGAUCUGUAGUGCGUGCGC